This 527-nucleotide ribosomal RNA is filed under the name Chaetomium sp. DR-2009b. RNAcentral describes it as "eukaryotic LSU rRNA". The stretch from base 157 to 310 matches the Rfam family "5.8S ribosomal RNA". Lineage: Eukaryota; Fungi; Ascomycota; Sordariomycetes; Sordariales; Chaetomiaceae. The record is from RNAcentral.
UUGCAAAACUCCCAAACCAUUGUGAACGUUACCAUUAUCGUUGCUUCGGCGGGCGGCGCCCAGCGCUCCCAGGCCCCCUCGCGGGGCGCCCGCCGGAGGUUACCUAACUCUUGACAACUGUAUGGCCUCUCUGAGUCUCUAUACUUAAUAAGUUAAAACUUUCAACAACGGAUCUCUUGGUUCUGGCAUCGAUGAAGAACGCAGCGAAAUGCGAUAAGUAAUGUGAAUUGCAGAAUUCAGUGAAUCAUCGAAUCUUUGAACGCACAUUGCGCCCGCCAGUAUUCUGGCGGGCAUGCCUGUUCGAGCGUCAUUUCAACCAUCAAGCCCCAGGCUUGUGUUGGGGACCUGCGGCUGCCGCAGGCCCUGAAAACCAGUGGCGGGCUCGCUAGUCACACCGAGCGUAGUAGCAUACACAUCGCUCAGGGCGUGCUGCGGGUUCCGGCCGUUAAACCCCUUUUUUACCCAAGGUUGACCUCGGAUCAGGUAGGAAGACCCGCUGAACUUAAGCAUAUCAAUAAGCGGAAGAA